CAAUGUUCAUUAAGUCAUCCGGGAGUUGGGCGUCUUGAAAGUACUCUGGUGGGCAUUCUUGGGAUUGAAAGUCAUGUUUUUCUUCCUUUGGGAUAUCUUGAACAACUGGUGGAUUAGCACGUUUAUCCAUACAGAAUUGAAGAUCUUCGUCGAGGCUCAUUUGGUAGUUUAUAAGGUAAUAGAACCAAUUCGGGAUGAAAGGAAUGGGAAAUAAUUGCAUGGCACUGUUGAGACGGAUCACAUGUGUUUGAAAG
RNAcentral lists this long non-coding RNA (254 nucleotides) under Brassica napus (rape). RNAcentral describes it as "long non-coding RNA (BNAP_LNC009384)". Lineage: Eukaryota; Viridiplantae; Streptophyta; Magnoliopsida; Brassicales; Brassicaceae. The record is from RNAcentral.